This 5756-nucleotide long non-coding RNA is filed under the name Brassica rapa (field mustard). RNAcentral's name for it is "long non-coding RNA (BRAP_LNC002163)". The record is from RNAcentral. Lineage: Eukaryota; Viridiplantae; Streptophyta; Magnoliopsida; Brassicales; Brassicaceae.
AAACUAGCUAGUUCUCAUAUAAGGUUUUCUUGUGGUGAUGUUUACGUCAAUGACCUAAAUAUAUAUGUACAAAAGUUUGUAAUUUAUAUCUUAAUGACAAAGUAAAUGCUAAGAUACAUAUGAACACAAUCGACACUAGGAGAUAUACACGAACAUAUGGAAUAUAGCUGUAACAUCUCCUCCUCCCUCACUUUCAAGUUAAAGCAUUGUUUUGCUAAGUUUCAAGUUAAAGCAUGCAUAUCAGUAUAUCACAAAUUUCCAUCAUAUCAAGAAAUGUCUCAAUUCGCGAUUUUUAAGAGAUAUCGCCCAGCUGAGACUGAGCAGAGAUAUGAUGAGUUGUAAUAGUUUUUGUUUUCAUCAUGCUUCUCAUGUGUGAGCUAUUAGGAUAAGGAAACCAUAUUCACAUUCAUGAGCAUAUAUUACAUUAGCUCAAUCAUCUCAAUCGUCUUUACUUCCGUAUAUAUUCCUACCGUAAAUAUUCUCUAUGUAAUUGUAUAUAUGAUGAGCUCUGCUCUAUCAAUAGAAUCAUUCGAUUCCAUAAGCUAAUAUGGUAUCAGAGCAGCUUUAGGUUAAACACCUCCCUUUUUUUUUCUUUUUUUUUCUCUUCAGCCGCUGCACCUCUCUCCUCUUAUCUUCUUCUUCUGUCUUUCUGAAAAUCACCAUUAUCUCUGGUUAUUAUGACAAACGACAGCUCCUCUGCUGAGACUACAACAGUCUUCAACGCUAGCGACCCUUCUAGCACUCUCCUCACCGUCAACAUGUCAAACAUCACGAAAUUGACGAAUGUUAACUACUUGAUGUGGAGUAAGCAGAUCAGUGCUCUCCUAGUAGGUCUUGAGCUCCACAGUUUCCUUGAUGACACAAAGAUGGCCGCCACCACCAUCCUCAAUGCUGAAGGCCAAACCGUCGAAAAUCCGGCUUAUACUCCUUGGAGACGUCAAGAUCGCCUUCUUUACAGCGCUUUGAUUGGAGCCAUAUCAACACCGAUUCAAUCAGUUGUCUCCAGCGCCGCCACAACAGCCCAGAUCUGGAAUCUCCUUGCCCAAACCUUUGGCAAUCCAUCUCGAGGCCAUAUCCGUCAACUGAAGAAUCAAGUCAACAAGAGCACUAAAGGAACCAAAACGAUUUCUGAAUAUCUCAGGCUCAUCAAAACCAAAACGGAUGAACUCGCCGAACUCGGUAAACCGAUGGACUCUGAAGACAUCACGGAGAAUGUUCUCGCCGGUCUACCUGAUGAGUACAAACCCGAGAUUGAUGCUAUACAUGGUAGAGACACAGCGAUCUCAUUUGCAGAGCUUCAUGAACGUCUCUUAAAAAGAGAAGCAAUGCUACUCUGUAAGGAACCUGCAGCAAGUCUUGACGUUCCUAUUACUGCGAAUCCAACCGACGCAAGACCUCGCAACUCAAACACGCAGAACAACUGGAGAGGUCCCAAUCGCAACAACAACAAUCGCAACUACUCCAACCAAAGCUCAUAUAACUCCAAUCAAGGUUCAUACAACUCCAACCAUGGCUCUUACAAUCGUGGCUCUCGCCCUUACUUGGGAAGAUGUCAAGCAUGUGGUGUUCAAGGACACAGUGCCAAAUACUGUCCAGAGUUUCAGAUGGUUCGUGGUAACAACAAUUCGACUCAAGCAUGGCGUCCACAACACCAGUCACAAGCACUGUACCCUCGCGCCAACGUCGCUAUGAUGAACGGUGACUCAAACACAUGGCUUCUCGAUUCCGGCGCGUCCCACCACAUGACUUCAGACAUCGCAAACCUCUCUCUGCACACUCCAUACAAUGGUGGAGAUGAUGUUAUCCUUGGCGAUGGCUCUGGGCUGAACAUCUCUCAUACUGGUUCUUUAUCCCUUCCUUCUCUUAAGCAUCCCUUCUUUAUUGAUAAUGUUCUCUUUGUUCCUGCCUUAGAUAAGAAUUUAAUCUCUGUUUUUCAACUUUGCAAAACUAAUGGCGUUGCUGUUACUUUCACACCAACUUACUUUCAGGUCAGAGACUUGACUACGGGAGCUCUUCGUCUGGAAGGCAAACCUGAAAAUGGUACCUACCAGUGGCCGAAAGAAACUACCUCCACACCACCAUCUCUUUCUUUUGCUUCGGCUACUUCCACAACUUUGACUGAUUGGCAUUCACGUUUAGGCCAUCCUGCUGCUUCUAUAUUACAAACUAUGAUAUCUAUUUUUCGUUUACCAUUAUCUUCAAAAGCUUUAAAGAACAAGCCUUGUAAUGCUUGCUCGAUUAAUAAGAUGCACAAGUUGCCAUUUUCAGAUUCAACCCUUAUCUCUAGUUCUCCGCUUGAUGUUGUGUUUUCUGAUGUUUGGACAUCUCCAAUUUUGUCUAUUGAUAAUUUCAAAUAUUAUGUGAUUUUUGUGGAUCAUUUCACACGUUACACUUGGCUUUAUCCUUUGAAAAGAAAAUCUCAGGUUUCAGAAGUUUUUCAACGUUUUAAAGCUUUAGUCGAAAACCGUUUUCAAAGCAAGAUUAGAACUCUUUACACUGAUAACGGUGGUGAGUAUAUUGCACUAACAGCUUUUCUAGCUGCUAAUGGCAUCUCUCAUUAUACUUCACCACCUCAUACGCCUGAGCAUAAUGGCAUUUCAGAGCGGAAACAUCAACAUAUAGUCGAAACGGGUCUUGCUCUGUUAUCUCAUGCCUCAAUGCCAAAGAAUUACUGGCCAUAUGCUCUAGCAACAUCAGUUUUUCUAAUCAACAGAAUGCCUACUCCUGUUCUCAAUAUGAAAUCGCCUUUUCAAUCUUUAUUUGGCCAGUCCCCAAAUUAUUCUAAGUUAAGGAUAUUUGGUUGUCUUUGUUUUCCUUGGACGAAACCUUAUACUAAUCAUAAGCUUGAUGCUAGAUCCACUCCUUGCGUAUUUCUAGGCUACUCUACAACUCAAAGUGCAUACUAUUGCUUAGAUAGGAAAACGUCUAGGAUUUAUACUUCUAGACAUGUUGUUUUUCAUGAAUAUGUGUUUCCUUUUGAGUUGCCUAACCCUCUUACAUCUGAGUCAUUUGCUGAGAAUGUUGCUGCAAAUACAUCACCUGCAGAUCAUGUGACUACUACAGUUAUUCCUCUACAGCCUCAGGCUCCACUCCCAACUCCAGUUGUACAACCAACCGUUCCGGUAGAUACUACAGCAACGGUGGCAACAUCAAUCUUACAGCCUCCAACUUCUACUCCACCAGCAACAACCUCCACUACUGCAACAGACCAGACUCAUCCUCCAGAACAACAGCCCCAACCCACAGUUACUCCACCUACUGAACCAGUUCAAGUCGUGCCACAUCCUAUACCUCAACCACCAUCGCGAACCUCCACACGGAAGCGCAAACCAGUUGACAAGCUUAAUCUCUCUGCUGUUGUCCUUCCUGCAACCGAGAAAAUACCAACAUCUGUGGCAGAAGCAUUAAAAGAUCCUAGAUGGAGGAAGGCGAUGUGUGAUGAAAUUAAUGCACAACUCAGAAACCACACUUGGGAUUUACACUCUCCAGUCACUGCAGCAAAUAUUGUGGGCUGCAAAUGGGUCUUCACGAUCAAGCGGAAGGCUGAUGGUUCAGUGGACAGAUUCAAGGCGCGGUUAGUGGCAAAAGGCUUCACCCAGCAACAUGGCCUAGACUAUCAAGAUACAUAUAGCCCAGUGGUCAAACCUGCAACCAUCCGCCUUGUCUUAAGUGUUGCAGUCUCCAACCAAUGGCCAAUGCGUCAAUUCGACGUAAACAAUGCUUUCUUGCAAGGGAAGCUUGAGGAAACAGUCUACAUGAUGCAGCCUCCUGGUUUCGUCAACCAAGAUCAUCCAAAGGCAGUGUGUAAACUCAACAAGGCUAUUUAUGGACUUAAACAAGCACCGAGGGCUUGGUACACUGAACUUAAGAGAUUCUUGCUCUCUUCGGGUUUCAGAAAUUCACUUGCGGAUGCUAGUCUCUUCAUUUACAACCAAAACGGCACUCUUCUUUACAUGCUAGUUUAUGUGGAUGACAUAGUUCUCACAGGGAACAACACACAGCAAAUGGAAAGCUUCAUACAAGCUCUCUCUACACGAUUCUCUCUAAAAGAUCUUGGCUCUCUUUCUUAUUUUUUGGGAAUUGAAGCUCAUCGAACUUCUCAUGGCUUAUUACUAACUCAAAAACGUUAUAUUGCAGACUUACUCCAGCGCAUCAAGAUGACAGACUGCAACUCGGUUUCCACACCAAUGUGUCCGUACAAACCAUUAACGUUAGACUCCGGCACCCCACUGUCUGAUCCCACACAAUACCGCGCAACGGUGGGAAGCCUCCAGUACCUGUCACUUACUCGCCCAGAUAUCUCCUUCGCUGUCAAUAAGCUCUCACAAUUUAUGCACAAGCCAACUGAUGAGCAUUGGAAUGGGGUCAAACGGGUUCUUCGCUAUCUCUCCGGCAGUAUGUCAACUGGUAUUUUCCUGUCUGCGAUCAACACUCCUGCAUUACACGCCUUUACAGACGCGGACUGGGCCGGGAAUCGAGACGAUUACACUUCAACAGGCGCCUACAUCGUCUAUUUUGGCAAGCAUCCCAUAGCUUGGUCAUCAAAGAAACAGGCAACAGUAGCUCGGUCCUCAACAGAGGCUGAGUAUCGUUCUAUCGCCUCCACAGCUGCUGAAGUUUGUUGGCUUCUUUCGCUCUUCACAGAGAUGGGAAUCAAGACGACAACGACCCCAACAAUCUACUGUGACAACAUAGGCGCCACAUAUCUUGCCGCCAACCCUGUCUUUCACUCUCGCAUGAAGCAUCUCGCACUGGACUAUCACUUCGUUCGCAGUCAUAUUCAAGCUGGUCAAAUGCGUGUUACUCACGUCACCUCAUCAGAUCAACUAGCAGACGCCUUAACCAAACCCCUCUCUCGGGCUAAACAUCAACAACUAUGCUCCAAGAUCGGACUUGCACAAGGUCGUCCGUCUUGAGGGGGGAUAUUAGGAUAAGGAAACCAUAUUCACAUUCAUGAGCAUAUAUUACAUUAUCUCAAUCAUCUCAAUCGUCUUUACUUCCGUAUAUACUCCUACCGUAAAUAUUCUCUAUGUAAUUGUAUAUAUGAUGAGCUCUGCUCUAUCAAUAGAAUCAUUCGAUUCCAUAAGCUAAUAUGAGCUUAUAUGUCUCUCGAGACUUAGUUGUAGUCCACCGGCUCUGUUUCUCCGGGAUUACCUUAAUCGCCAACCUUUGCAUCAAUUUUCUGAUUUAUAUCAUAUCCUUUCAGUGAAAAAAGGUUUUGCAAAAUGAAAAAAGAUUGUUUGUUUCUUUCAGACAUAAAAUUGCGUAGUGUCCUGAGUAUGUAUGUUGACCCAAUAAUGAAGCGCUGUAGUAAACAGUGAUAGGUGGUUAGAGUAAGGAUAGACAUGUGUUUCUUGAUUCUUAUUUCGAAGAAAGAUAUUUACGUUGUAACAACUUCCAAGUCGACACAGGUACACACGCACACUGAUCUUUUUCAAUUGUCUCUUUCUGCAACGUAGCUAUCACAUAUGUAUCACAUACAUGUGAUCGCUAAUUUUUCACUGAUUUUUUCUCUUUCUUUUAAAAUUUGGACCCAUAAUUUUCUUAUCAACUUCAAGUCCCUUACUCAUAAUGUAAUCGCAGAUGCAUAGUUUUUGGAACAAGCGAAGUUCUAGGCGGGCUUGUGUCGAUGUCUCCGCUAGUUUCAAAUAUAAUUAUAUGGUUGCGUUCAUAUGAAAAAAUAAAAAUAAAACUCACAUUUUCGAAAGAAUUAAAAUUACUAUUUUACAAUAUAUUAUUUACGUUUAUAUUUAUCU